This 595-nucleotide ribosomal RNA is filed under the name uncultured Loktanella sp. RNAcentral describes it as "bacterial SSU rRNA". It matches the Rfam family "Bacterial small subunit ribosomal RNA", at positions 28 to 671 of the family's 1533-position model. The record is from RNAcentral. Lineage: Bacteria; Pseudomonadati; Pseudomonadota; Alphaproteobacteria; Rhodobacterales; Roseobacteraceae.
AACGAACGCUGGCGGCAGGCCUAACACAUGCAAGUCGAGCGCACCUUCGGGUGAGCGGCGGACGGGUUAGUAACGCGUGGGAAUAUGCCCUUCUCUACGGAAUAGCCUCGGGAAACUGAGAGUAAUACCGUAUACGCCCUUCGGGGGAAAGAUUUAUCGGAGAAGGAUUAGCCCGCGUUGGAUUAGGUAGUUGGUGGGGUAAAAGCCUACCAAGCCGACGAUCCAUAGCUGGUUUGAGAGGAUGAUCAGCAACACUGGGACUGAGACACGGCCCAGACUCCUACGGGAGGCAGCAGUGGGGAAUCUUAGACAAUGGGGGAAACCCUGAUCUAGCCAUGCCGCGUGAGUGACGAAGGCCUUAGGGUCGUAAAGCUCUUUCGCCAGGGAAGAUAAUGACGGUACCUGGUAAAGAAACCCCGGCUAACUCCGUGCCAGCAGCCGCGGUAAUACGGAGGGGGUUAGCGUUGUUCGGAAUUACUGGGCGUAAAGCGCACGUAGGCGGGUUAGUAAGUUAGAGGUGAAAUCCCAGGGCUCAACCCUGGAACUGCCUUUAAUACUGCUAGCCUUGAGUUCGAGAGAGGUGAGUGGAAUUCCG